GUCAUCUUUAAAAAAUUUUUUUAAAAAACCUAAAAAUUAAAAAGUAAAAAACAAACCUCUCACUAAAAUGUCAGCUCUGUGAAGGCAGAGAUGGGGCUGCUGUGUGCACUGCAAUCUCUGCCAAGGUGCCCAGUCCCUGGAGACCCUCCUGUAAUAUGCUGAACAACUGGGUAAAAAGGGAGGACCUGGGCAGUAAAUGAGGUGCCCCAGCCCCCUACACCUUUUUUCACCCUGAUUACAUGAGUAAAACGUGUCGAUUGCAGCAAAAAUUUGAAAAUACAUAUGAGCAAAAGGAAGAAAAUAUAAACACUCAUGAUCCAACCACCUACACCAUGUGGAUACCAUUCCAAAUGUUUUUUCUGUAUCUAUACCUAUGUUUAUAUAAAGAUAACAUGUAUUUUUAUAAAAAUGGUUCAUGUAUUGAAUUAUAAUCUGCUGUGUUUCAUCUUCACCAUAUAUCUUAAUCACGCUUCCUUAAUAAAGGUACUUCAGCUACAUCAUUGUUAAAGGCUAUAUAAUACUCCACCAUAUAGCUAUACCAUGUAGUAUUUUACAAAUCAAGUGUUGAGCUAAAGGGGAGGUUUCCUCAAUGUCAAUAAAGGUAAAAUGCUUUAUUAUA
Galeopterus variegatus (Sunda flying lemur) is the source of this 619-nucleotide long non-coding RNA. RefSeq lists it as uncharacterized. NCBI's taxonomy places the organism in Eukaryota, Metazoa, Chordata, Mammalia, Dermoptera, Cynocephalidae. The record is from RefSeq and is a predicted model, not a curated record. The transcript has 2 exons.